Non-coding RNA from Lactuca sativa (garden lettuce), 303 nucleotides. The record is from RefSeq and is a predicted model, not a curated record. NCBI's taxonomy places the organism in Eukaryota, Viridiplantae, Streptophyta, Magnoliopsida, Asterales, Asteraceae.
UUCGUGUUUUGUUUUUAUCAUGUAGGGUAGUUACCCAUCAACAAACUUUAGAAGGAUCUUCUUCAGGUUCUUUUCUCAGGCUGAAAGAUUUCCUUAAAGCUAUAAGAUGGAUCGUGAUACUUGGAUGUAUGAAUUAUAACGUCAUGACAAAGAAUACCUGAUUAGGCUGAAAGAUUUCCUUAAAGCUAUUGAGGAUCAUCGAGUAAAAAAAGGAGAGAGUCAAAUUUGGUGUCCUUGUAAAAAGUGUCACAAUUGUAAAAUGUUUACCGAUUUAAAGUUAAUUGAAGAACACCUUAUAUGUGA